UUUCCCACAACAAAGAUUAUUGUUUAAAAAUGUGGGUCUAAAGAAGGCUAGUAAAUUUAAUGUCAGACAAAAUAAAAUUUAAGUCAAAAAAUUAAAUGUGCACGUAUUCUCACAGGCAAUUCCGAGCGGGAAUGCUAGCCACCGUGACGCUGGAAACCGCCCCAGCUGUGUCUCCUGUCCCCUGGCUGCUUUGAAUGCCCCGGCUCCGGAGGGUUCUUUCCGCCUCCUUCAGCUCUAGGUGUGACCCGAAUCAGGGGUCCCAGUAUAGGCAGAGCACGGGACACUGUUGUGAUAUGAGCUCCGUAAGGGAGCUGCAGAAUCUGGAGGUUGUUCACUUGCAUCAAGUCCAGACCCCUGCUUGCCCUGCAAGAAUCUGCCAGUGUCCUCGGAUGGAAAGUUUUCUCUGUGAGUCAUCUCAGAAGGAAAACUGGCACUUGGUACCUUUGGAUUAGGGAAUAAACAUCGGAGACGAUUGCUGAGAAGAGUGAGAUCCCCAGGCAUGGAUCACUGGAGCUCAACAAAGCCAUGACUUCAUCUCACCAGGCCCUCCCUGAGAACUCUGGAGAAAGGCUAGCCCGCCACUCCCCUGCGGACCUGGCUCCCUGGGUCCUGGUCCCUGGAGAAGCUGCACCAGAGUGCCAUGGUGACGGUGAUCACGUGAGAGGCGUGGGCCCCCACCUCCAUGCCCCGAGGACUCAGUGCACCACAGGUGGAAGGAGGUUUGGGAGCAGGACCCCUGGGCUUUCAUGCAGGGCGUCUUAAUUGUCUCGAGGACAGACACAGCUGAAGUGUGGUGUCUGCCUUCAGCCCUCCACCAAGGGCUAGUGACGCCCAGGCUGAGCGAAAGCAUGGCGGGGGGCGGGGGUGGGCUCCAGGCCUAAGGGGAGGAAAUACCAGAAGCCACAGAGGAAGGACCAGGUGCUGAGAGAGAGGGGUAACUGCUGGCCUCCAGGCAACAAUCAAAAGUAAGGAAAUGCUCAAAGAAAUGACAGGCUCAGGGCCUAUGGGAAGGCUGCCGGAGUCAACCUGAAGGAGCUCCCCAAGCUGGAACAAUUGGAGCAAUAAAAUAAAUACUGUAGUAUUGCAGCAUAACGUAGUAUGCAGCAUAAAAUGGAGAUUGACGUUUGAAUACGUAAGUGGACGGUGGUGGUGGUGGUGGGGGGGUCUUCCUUUCCCCCAAAUUUCAUUUAACGUAGGUAGAUAUUCCCUCUAGGAGGUGGAGCUUAGUUCCCUUUGCACACGUGAGAAUAGACUUAACUUAGUGGCUGGAUUCCAAAGCAUAGAAUUUGGAAAGGCAAAAAUAGUAAUGCUACAGUGGAGGAAAUGGGCGGACACCGCCUUAACCAUGUGAUCAAGGUAAUCGUCACCAGUGAUGAGUAUGGAUUUACGUGCCACCUACCGUGACACCAAGAGAAGCCACUUCGCCGCUGUGGCAUUCUUUCCAGAAACUCAGGGUCCCAGUCUGGUCAUGAGAAAAGCAUCAGUCAAACCAAAAUUGAGUGGUAUCCUAUGAAAUACCUGGCCAGUAUGGCUCAAGAAUUCACCAAGGUUGUGAAAAACAAGGAAAGCCUGAAAAGCUGCCACAGACUGGAGAUCCUGGAUUGGAUCCUGGAGGAGAAAGAGGACAUUAAUGGAAAAAUCCAGUGAAAUCCGAUGAAACCUAGAGUUUAUUUAGCGGAUAUGUCCCCAUAUUUGUUUUUUAGUUUUGACAAUGUAUCAUGUGUUGACCUAAAUAAAGAGGUAAACUGAGGCAAGCUCAAGCUACCAGAAACUGGGUUUAGUCGGAAUAUAGUGGUGGAAUUGCAUUUUGGGAAACGCGUGCUAUAGCAAGCUACAGGCGGGGCUUUUGAGGUUUGGGGGCAGGCCGAUUUAUGGGUGAGGAGUGCAAAGAUGGGGAAGUCCAGCCAGAGUCCAAGCAGUUAAGUUCACUGGCUUGGGAAUGGGGAGAUCUCGGCAGAUGUCUAUUGGUCAGGAGAUAAGUCUUAGUCUUCUGUAAAUUGGGCAUUUAUGGCAAAACAGUCUUUCAGUUCUUUUUUUUUUUUUGAGAUUUUAUUUAUUUAUUUGAGAGAUAGAAACAGAGAAAGGGAGGGGAGAGAGAGCAUGAGCUGGGAGGAGAGGGAGAAGCAAGCUCCCCACUGAGCAGGGAGCCCAACUCGGGGCUCGAUCCUGGGACUCCAGGAUCACGACUUGAGCCAAAGGCAGACACUUAACCAGCUGAGCCACCCAGGCGCCCCAGUCUUUCAGUUCUUAAGUUCCAUUCCUUUGAGGGUGCACGCAUGAGAUUCUCCAGUUCGUAUCCUCCAGUUUCAUUUUAGAUUGGGACCCUUCCAUAUGUGUAAUGUAAGCGGAUAACGUCAGGGGAGACUAAACUGGCCGAGGGGUGUACAGGAAGUCUCUGUACUAUUUUCACAAUUUCUCUCUAAAUCUAGAAUUAUUCCAAAUCACAGGCUUAUUAAAAAUAACGUACCUAGGAGAUUAUUGACUCAGUACACAGGGAGCUUUCCCAUUUGUUCUUAUCACAGCGUCGUACUUCAUCAUACGGAUUUACUAUUCAGGCAUACCUCAUUUUACUGCACUUUACUUUCUUGUGCUUCACAGACCAUUUUGUUGUGUUUUGUUUUUACAAAUUGAAAGUUUGUGGCAAGCAUCUGUCAAGCAAGUAUAUCGGCACCAUUUUUUCCAACAGCGUUUGUUCACUUCUUGUCUCUAGGUCACAUUUUGGUAAUUCUCAUAAUAUUUCAAACUUUUUCAAUGUCAUAUUUGUUAUAUGAUCUGUAGUCAAUGAUUAUAACUCAAAUCUCAGAUGAUGAUUAGCAUUUCUUAGCAAUAAAGUAUUUUUUAAUUAAGAUAUAAACAUGGUAGGUUUUUUUUGACAUAAAACUGUUGCACACUUAAUAGACUACAGUGUAGUUUAAACAACUUUGAUAAAUACUGGAAACAAACUCAUUUAACUCACUUCAUUGUAUGUACUGGGAAACAAACAAGCUCAUUUGACUCACUUUAUUGUAAUAUUUGCUUUAUUGCAGUGGUCUGGACCUGAACCUACUGUAUCUCCAAGGUAUGCCUGUAAUUUAUUGAACCAUUUCUCUACUAAUGGAUAUUUAGGUUGUUUCCAAUCUUUUCGCUAUUACAAACAGUGGCGCAUGGAUGAUAUGUCAUUUAUACAUGUGUGAGAAUAUCUGUAGAAUAAAUUUCCAAAAGUACAGUUGUUGGAUUAAAAAAUAUUGGCACUUGUUUUGACCAAUACUGCCAAACUGCCUUCCCUAGAGGUUGAAUUAAUUUAUACUUCCACCAGCAAUGUAGGAAAUGACUCCCCACACCCUUCCAACAUCGGUUAUAGUGAAACCAGCUAUAGACCCAAUGCAGCCCUCCUUGGGUUUGGUUCAUUUGCUAGGGAGCUCACAGAACAAAGGAAAGCAGUUUACUUAUUAGGUUACCAGUUUAUACAAAGGAUAUUAAAGGGUGCAAAGGAAUAGCCAGAUAAAGAGAUCUAUCAGGGUUUGUCUGGAAGGGAUCUGCACCAAGGAGGCUCUCCCAGUGCAGCUGGGGGGGGGGGCGGGCACUAAGCUCCUGGCACAGGAUGCAAUCUGGUUUACCACCUGGAAGCUCUCCAAACCCUGGAGCUCAGGGAUUUUUAUGGAGCUCAUUAGGUAGGUAUGACUGGUUAAACCAUUGACCACUAGUAAUUGAACUCAAUCUGGUGUCCGCCUGGGUGGCCCAGUCAGUUAAGUGUCUGCCUUCAGUCUGGGUCAUGAUCCCAGAGUCCUGGGAUCGAGCCCCGCAUUAGGCUCCCUGCUUGGUGGGGAGUCUGUUUCUCCCUCUGCCUCUCCCCACUGCCCCCACGCGUGCUCUCUCUCUCAAUAAAUAAAUAAAACCUAAAAAAAAAAAAAAAAAGAACUCAAUCUCUAGCCCUUCUUCCUUCUGUGGAUGUUGGAGGGUGGACCUGAAAGUUCCCAACCUCUGAUCACCUGGCUGGUUUCCCUGGCAACCAGCUUCCAUCGUUAGGUUGCCUAGGGGCUUUCCAAAA
Molecule: long non-coding RNA, 4027 nt
Filed under: Ailuropoda melanoleuca (giant panda)
Lineage: Eukaryota; Metazoa; Chordata; Mammalia; Carnivora; Ursidae
Description: lncRNA (ENSAMEG00000030187.1)
Source: RNAcentral